Molecule: long non-coding RNA, 723 nt
Organism: Fukomys damarensis (Damara mole-rat)
Lineage: Eukaryota; Metazoa; Chordata; Mammalia; Rodentia; Bathyergidae
Exons: 3
Source: RefSeq, a predicted model, not a curated record
CAUAAGUGGGACAUUGUAAUGAGAGGCAUGGAGCUAUCUGGUUGGACAUAGAGCAAAGUGGGAUGCUGGUCACUGCAUCAGACUGAGCUGGAAAAAAAGGAUGAAUGUCAAGUAACAUUGUGUAUGCCACUAAGAGAAAAUACUGUCAAGUCUCUACGCAAUAAAGAUCAAAGUCUUCACUUUCUGCAGUACAAGAUUAUGAUCAGAGCAAGAGAUCUUUCUGGAACAUGAGUCACACUGAGCGUAACUCUAUGACCAGUGAGGAUGUGUCCAUGCCCAGCGAGGAGGUCUUCGAGACAACACCGGUCUGCGGAGAUGUACUCACCUGCACAGCAAAGCAGCAAUUAUUUACUGCACCCUUUCCGCCUUACUCUUCAGUGACUUUCCUCCCCCACUGGACGCCCCAAACUCCUUCUCUUUUCUUUAGCUCAUAAUAACAGCUAGAAGAGGCUCAACCAAUCUCCAGCAGCCAUGUUUCCACCAUCGGCAGACAGCUGAUCCCAUCAGGUCAAAAUAAGGCCCGUGCCUGUCUUGAUCCAGUUUCAGCACUUGCUGUGUUCAGACUAUGGAAGCUCACUUUUCACAUUGCUGAGCAAAGCCUGCUGCCCCAUGACAAAUCCUUAAAUGUUUAAUUAAUUUUAUCUUACUUUCCCAUAAGUAAACAGUGCCAUAUCCAUUGCUUUAAUGGAUUAUUUUUCAUACUUAAAGUUUCCAUUUUAAUAC